UACGGGGGGAGCAAGCGUUGUUCGGAUUUACUGGGCGUAAAGGGCGCGUAGGCGGCCACCGCAAGUCGACUGUGAAAUCUCCGGGCUUAACCCGGAAAGGUCAGCCGAUACUGCGGGGCUAGAGUGCAGAAGGGGCAACUGGAAUUCUCGGUGUAGCGGUGAAAUGCGUAGAUAUCGAGAGGAACACCUGCGGCGAAGGCGGGUUGCUGGGCUGACACUGACGCUGAGGCGCGAAAGCCAGGGGAGCGAACGGG
RNAcentral lists this ribosomal RNA (254 nucleotides) under uncultured bacterium. RNAcentral describes it as "partial 16S ribosomal RNA". It matches the Rfam family "Bacterial small subunit ribosomal RNA", at positions 524 to 776 of the family's 1533-position model. The record is from RNAcentral.